This is a long non-coding RNA of Triticum aestivum (bread wheat), 2033 nucleotides long. RefSeq lists it as uncharacterized. The record is from RefSeq and is a predicted model, not a curated record. The transcript is spliced from 9 exons. Lineage: Eukaryota; Viridiplantae; Streptophyta; Magnoliopsida; Poales; Poaceae.
CCCCACGCCGCUCCUCUCUUCGCGCCGCCGCCCACCCUCCACCCACCGGCCGCCCUCUCCUCGGCGCACAUACCCCCCUAGCCCCGUCCCCUCCCCGAGCACGGGGAGCCCCGAGCCGGCCCUCCCAUCGGCGCCGCUGCCCCUCCCCGUUGGCUAGGGUUCAGGCCGUCCGGCCAUCUCCGUCGCCCCACCCUCCCUCCGCUGGCGCAUAGAUCCCCCCCUGCCCCCUCCCCGAGCAUGGGGAGCCCCGAGCUGGCCCUCCCAUCGGCGCUGCCGCCCCUCCCCGUUCGCGAGGGUUGAGGCCGUCCGGCCAUAUCCGCUGCCCCACCCUCCCUCCGCUGGCAGGACCCGGCUCCUCAGGCGGUAAGGUGCUCCGGUGUGAAGGUGCUCCGGCGUGCUCAGAGCGUUUCCUCUGAUUUCCUGCUCGUGCAACAACUGUUGAUCUCCUGCUCGUGCAACAACUGUUGAUCUCCUGCUCGUGCAACAUGCUGCAUCUGGACACGCAUUAGUUUGAUGUUGGGAUCGUCGCCGCGGGGCUUCUUGCUGGAGGGACGAUCUGCACCGAACAUGCUUCGAGGGACUUCUUCACUUGCGCCGAGGGUAUGGAGGAUGAAGCUAAUGAGGUCGUGGAGGCGAUUGCCAAGAAGAUUGUCCAAGACAUGCCCUAUGAGGGGCGCGUCGAUGCCGUGGUGAAGUAUUUCGCGCACGAAAGCAACAUGCUUCUCAAAAAGCCACUAGCCCGGAGAGUGCAUCUGACCCGUUCCAUGUACUUGAAGGCGGUUCCCCCAUGGUGCAACAACAAUAUUCCUUGCUAUCAGCAAAUCAUAUCCAGGUGGAUAAACCCGGAGUGGAGGGCCGCACACAGAGCGUGUUCGGAGUAGCGUGCCAUGAUGGGUGGUCCAGUACACCUUCAAGGCAACCUCAACCUCCACGCUUACGUGCAGAAGAAGAAUAGGGAGAGAGGUGAGGGCGAACCGCGGCUCAAUACCUUCACGGGAUUAUGUCUUUCCCGCACGUCAAAGAAACCUGAAGGGGGGUGGGUCAACCUAGGAUCUGGCUUGAGGAUUGAUGCGUAUAGUGGGAAGUUCAAGGAGCACAACGGGCCCGAUUCUGAUCCGGCCUCACAGGACAUUGAUGUUACGGUUUCCCUCCAGGCAGGACAAGGCAAGAAGGGUGGCCGGUUAUAUGUUGGUGAUGGUGCCAUCCGUAAGAAGGAUAUUCCAAAACUCGCCCACCUUCGUGCUACCACAUCGAGCUCAGGUCCUGCUAUAGAGCGUCGCCUACAGCCUGGGCUGCACAUGAUGCAACAAUUUGAGGCCCGCCUAGAGGAAGAAGCCAGGUUGCUGCAGGAAGAAACCAGGUUGCGGAAGGAGGCUCAGGACAAUUUCCUCCUUCAACAGGAGCAAGCCAUGAAAAUGCAGCAAGCCCUCUUGCAACAACAGGAAUUCAUGGCCAAACAAUAGGCAGCCCUGCUUGAGACGUUCGCUCAGUUCAAAACUACUCCCUCCGUUCCUAAAUAUAAGUCUUUGAAGACAUUCCACUAUGGACCACAUACGGAGUAAAAUAAAUGAACUACACUCUAAAAUGCAUCUAUAUACAUCCGUAUAUGGCCCCAUAGUGAAAUCUCUACAAAGACUUAUAUUUAGGAACGGAGGGAGUAAUAUGCAGGGUUCUACUUUGCCGGAUCUUCCUCCUCUUCCGCCUCUUCCUACUUUCAGCUUUUGUUCUAAGUCGGGAUAAGCAAGCCCAGUGACACCCACUAGGGCUUCGACCUCCUUGCAACAAUGAUCACUCGAGGUAGUUGUCAUUGUGCUUCUGUUUGUGAACCUGGAACAAUGCUUUGUGUGAACUUGGAACUCACGCUUUUGAUUGUGAACCUGGAACAAUGCUUUGUGUAAACUUGGAACUCAUGAACCUUGUUGGAUAUGUACGCAUGUGUGGACUUGGAACUUAUGGUCCUUUCAUUUGCGAACUAUUGUUGCAUAUGUACGCAUCUAUGGACUUCCGUUGGAUAUAUAUUGUUGUUGUGAACC